This 305-nucleotide ribosomal RNA is filed under the name uncultured bacterium. Its description in RNAcentral is "bacterial SSU rRNA". It matches the Rfam family "Bacterial small subunit ribosomal RNA", at positions 332 to 637 of the family's 1533-position model. The record is from RNAcentral.
UCUACCUACGGGACGCAGCAGUGAGGAAUAUUGGUCAAUGGGCGAGAGCCUGAACCAGCCAAGUCGCGUGAAGGAUGACGGCCCUAUGGGUUGUAAACUUCUUUUAUAUGGGAAUAAAGUUUUCCACGUGUGGAAUUUUGUAUGUACCAUAUGAAUAAGGAUCGGCUAACUCCGUGCCAGCAGCCGCGGUAAUACGGAGGAUCCGAGCGUUGUCCGGAUUAUUGGGUUUAAAGGGAGCGUAGGUGGAUUGUUAAGUCAGUUGUGAAAGUUUGCGGCUCAACCGUAAAAUUGCAGUUGAAACUGGC